RNAcentral lists this ribosomal RNA (253 nucleotides) under uncultured bacterium. Its description in RNAcentral is "partial 16S ribosomal RNA". It matches the Rfam family "Bacterial small subunit ribosomal RNA", at positions 524 to 776 of the family's 1533-position model. The record is from RNAcentral.
UACGAAGGGGGCUAGCGUUGCUCGGAAUUACUGGGCGUAAAGCGCACGUAGGCGGCUUUCUAAGUCGGGGGUGAAAUCCUGGAGCUCAACUCCAGAACUGCCUUCGAUACUGGAGAGCUCGAGUCCGGGAGAGGUGAGUGGAACUGCGAGUGUAGAGGUGAAAUUCGUAGAUAUUCGCAAGAACACCAGUGGCGAAGGCGGCUCACUGGCCCGGUACUGACGCUGAGGUGCGAAGGCGUGGGGAGCAAACAGG